CUACACGGCUCCCUACUGAGGAUGACGGGAAGUCUCAGGAGUAUUGUGAAGUGAUACGGAUGGUGACGAAACCUAAAGCUGAUUUGGUAGACACCCCACUGGAAGACUGUGUUCUCACUCUGUCUGUAGAUGGCAGGGAACUGAUCUACUGGAGAAAAACUGAUAGAAAUAAAAUGUCUGCAUACAGGGGCGGGAUGGUGUGUGGAAGCCUUUUUAAGCACCCGGCUCAGAAAGACAAAGGCAGCAAUUGAACAUUUCCUCUGGAUCCUCUCAACCGGAAGAAAGUGGAUUAGAUCAAUGCACCAGUAGAUAUUUGGAGAGGGGGAAAAGAAAGUAACAGGAGAAAUAGAGGCGGAAAGGGCGCCGGAACCUUCUCAGCCUCCACAAAUGGAGGUCUCAGCAGGACGCUAACCCAGAAUGGUUUGGCAAAGCGGACAAGUGGCGGCAAUGAAUGGGCCCCCACUGCUCGCCCAAUCACCUGAACUCGAUCCAAUUGUGUCCAUAAAAUAUCACGGAAUGAAGGACUGCGGAUAAAACAAAUAAAACGGAAAAAGGCAUCCACCGGCCAUCAUCCCGAAUCCAAACAACAGUCCCCCAACUCCACUCACCCCGCAAAGGAAGGUCAACUCGCGAAUAAUUCAUUAACGAAAACAAACGUCCUCCCACGUUUACUCUGUCAAUAUCACUGCCGCUGAGUGGCAGUUCA
Paramormyrops kingsleyae is the source of this 706-nucleotide non-coding RNA. The record is from RefSeq and is a predicted model, not a curated record. Lineage: Eukaryota; Metazoa; Chordata; Actinopteri; Osteoglossiformes; Mormyridae.